GCGGGAGUAACUCAGUGGUAGAGUGUCAGCUUCCCAAGCUGAAGGUCGUGGGUUCGAAUCCCAUUUCCCGCUCCA
Molecule: transfer RNA, 75 nt
Filed under: Geoanaerobacter pelophilus
Lineage: Bacteria; Pseudomonadati; Thermodesulfobacteriota; Desulfuromonadia; Geobacterales; Geobacteraceae
Description: tRNA-Gly
Rfam family: tRNA
About the family: Transfer RNA (tRNA) molecules are approximately 80 nucleotides in length. Their secondary structure includes four short double-helical elements and three loops (D, anti-codon, and T loops).
Source: RNAcentral